GACUUUCUCCAAAAUCAAGAAGUUUCAAAACAACAAGGCAAGCUUUCCGCUCUUUGAUGCUUUGGGAGCACUCUAUGAUGGUCAUCUGGCUGAAGGGACAUACAAUUUUACUUCUAUUGAGUCACAACGUGUGGAAGAGCCCCUUCAACAAAUUGAUGUUGUAGAGGAAGAAGCCCUACAGGAAAUUCAUAAGGUACAUGAUGAAGAGGAUGAAGAAAAGGAUGCAAGAGAUAAAGAAGAGGAGGCAAGAAGUGGACAACGAAGAAUGGCUGCAUCAAGAAAGAAACCAGAAAAGGAAGGGCAAAGGCCUAGAAAGAGUGCAAAAAUUGAAGCUAUGAUGGAGAGAUUCCUUGAAAUGAGGACAAAGCAAACAGAAGAUGAAGCUCAACAGCUAGCAAGAGAAAAUGAGCCAAAAGAUAAGGAGGCUGCUAAAGGUGAUGAAUACUCCAUCAAAAGGUGCAUAUCGAUUAUCAACACAAUGGAAGUG
This is a long non-coding RNA of Setaria italica (foxtail millet), 487 nucleotides long. RefSeq lists it as uncharacterized. The transcript has 2 exons. The record is from RefSeq and is a predicted model, not a curated record. Lineage: Eukaryota; Viridiplantae; Streptophyta; Magnoliopsida; Poales; Poaceae.